This is a long non-coding RNA of Carya illinoinensis, 858 nucleotides long. RefSeq lists it as uncharacterized. The transcript has 5 exons. NCBI's taxonomy places the organism in Eukaryota, Viridiplantae, Streptophyta, Magnoliopsida, Fagales, Juglandaceae. The record is from RefSeq and is a predicted model, not a curated record.
CUGGUUCCGGCCCGGAUUUAAUCCGGACCGAAAUCCGGAUCGCAAAAUCCAAAUCUAUGCGGUCCGGGUACGGAUUUAGAAUCCGAGUACCGGAUUAAAAACCCGGUACUCGGUUUCAUUUAUUUAUUUUACCCCGGCUACAUAUCCAGCCCCCUUCUCUCUCUCUCUCUCUCUCUCUCUCUCUCUCUCUCUCUCUCUCUCUCUCUCUCUCUCUCUCGUUCAUCUAAGAGUGAAACCCUAGCCGCCGCUAAUCCUUUCCUCAGUCUCUCUCGCUCUCAUCAGUCGUGGGGGCCUUCUCCAGGAAGUAAAGCCUUCUCCAGUUGAAAUGUCGUCCCAAGAUAAUAAAAGAUUUUCCAAGAGAUCUCAUUUCAUUGAAGAGGGCCCAAGUGCUAUCCUUUUACAUUGGUGGACCUGAUCUGUCCUUGAAUCUUGUUCAACAGGUUCUACCCAAAAAUGAAGAAGAAAAUUUCAUAUAUGGCAUGCUUGCUUUUCCUUUGCUGGAGCUUAACCAAAUGGCAGAUGCUGAGAAAGCUGCAAAAAAGGGAUUUGAGAUCAAUGGGCAAGAUUACUGGGCACAACAUGCCCUGUGCCAUGUUCUACAGUAUGAGUGCCGGUUUGAAGAAGCAGUACAGUUCAUGGAAGGAUGCUCAUCUUCUUGGAGGUCUUGUUCUUCAUUUAUGCUGACACAUAAUUGGUGGCAUGUAGCUCUUUGUUACUUGGAAGCUGGUUCUCCAAUUCAAAGAGUCUUAGAAAUAUAUGAUAAUUGUAUUUGGAAGGAAUUGGAAAAAAGUGAUGCUGUGGGUCCUGAGGUGUGCUAUUUUGUGUAAUUUGAAUAAAAUCCACUCUCUUUUUGUCGUU